CAGUCGCCGCGGUAAUACGAAGGGGGCUAGCGUUGCUCGGAAUGACUGGGCGUAAAGGGCGCGUAGGCGGUUUAUACAGUCAGAUGUGAAAUUCCUGGGCUCAACCUGGGGACUGCAUUUGAUACGUAUGGACUUGAGUGGAGGAGAGGGUCGUGGAAUUUCCAGUGUAGAGGUGAAAUUCGUAGAUAUUGGAAAGAACACCGGUGGCGAAGGCGGCGACCUGGCCUUUAACUGACGCUGAGGCGCGAAAGCGUGGGGAGCAAACAGGAUUAGAGACCCCUGUAGUCCCUGUCUCUUAUAC
This 301-nucleotide ribosomal RNA is filed under the name uncultured bacterium. Its description in RNAcentral is "partial 16S ribosomal RNA". It matches the Rfam family "Bacterial small subunit ribosomal RNA", at positions 509 to 807 of the family's 1533-position model. The record is from RNAcentral.